Molecule: ribosomal RNA, 483 nt
Filed under: uncultured bacterium
Lineage: Bacteria
Description: partial 16S ribosomal RNA
Rfam family: Bacterial small subunit ribosomal RNA
Source: RNAcentral
GACGAACGCUGGCGGCGUGCUUAACACAUGCAAGUCGAACGCUGAAGCUCAGCUUUUGUUGGGUGGAUGAGUGGCGAACGGGUGAGUAACACGUGAGUAACCUGCCUCCUUCUUUGGGAUAACGCCCGGAAACGGGUGCUAAUACUGGAUAUUCACUGGUCUUCGCAUGGGGGUUGGUGGAAAGGGUUUUUCUGGUGGGGGAUGGGCUCGCGGCCUAUCAGCUUGUUGGUGGGGUGAUGGCCUACCAAGGCUUUGACGGGUAGCCGGCCUGAGAGGGUGACCGGUCACAUUGGGACUGAGAUCCGGCCCAGACUCCUACGGGAGGCAGAAGUGGGGAAUAUUGCACAAUGGGCGCAAGCCUGAUGCAGCGACGCCGCGUGAGGGAUGGAGGCCUUCGGGUUGUGAACCUCUUUCGCUCAUGGUCAAGCCGCAACAAUGGUUGUGGUGAGGGUAGUGGGUAAAGAAGCGCCGGCUAACUACGUG